GUAACACGUGAAUAACCUGCCCUCAAUUUCGGAAUAACCCAGGGAAACCUGGGCUAAUACCGGAUACGUAAACCUGUGGCAUCACAUGGUUUUGGAAAGUUUUUCGAUUGAGGAUGGAUUCGCGGCCUAUCAGCUUGUUGGUGAGGUAAUGGCUCACCAAGGCGACGACGGGUAGCCGGCCUGAGAGGGUGAACGGCCACACUGGGACUGAGACACGGCCCAGACUCCUACGGGAGGCAGCAGUGGGGAAUAUUGCGCAAUGGACGAAAGUCUGACGCAGCGACGCCUCGUGAGGGACGAAGGUCUUCGGAUUGUAAACCUCUUUCAGCAGGGACGAAGCGAAAGUGACGGUACCUGCAGAAGAAGCACCGGCUAACUAUGUGCCAGCAGCCGCGGUAAUACAUAGGGUGCAAGCGUUGUCCGGAUUUAUUGGGCGUAAAGAGUUCGUAGGCGGUUUUUCGCGUCGGAUGUGAAAACUCAGGGCUCAACCCUGAGCCUGCAUUCGAUACGGGAAGACUCGAGGACGGCAGGGGAGACUGGAACUUCUGGUGUAGCGGUGGAAUGCGCAGAUAUCAGAAAGAACACCAAUGGCGAAGGCAGGUCUCUGGGCCGAUCCUGACGCUGAGGAA
RNAcentral lists this ribosomal RNA (629 nucleotides) under uncultured bacterium. Its description in RNAcentral is "bacterial SSU rRNA". It matches the Rfam family "Bacterial small subunit ribosomal RNA", at positions 110 to 753 of the family's 1533-position model. The record is from RNAcentral.